AUGGCGCAGGUGGCGAAGGCUAGGCGGUCUGAAUCAGGAGCACGGGGCCGACGACUGGGGCGCACGGCCAGAUCAGGACGAGGCAGAGGAGCUCCAAGGCGCCAGCCUUGGCGGCCUCUGGGUUCAUCGCCGAUUAGGGGGUGCUGCGCUGUCCAGCCACCACGGCCCCGCGCACGUGCGGCUCUUGGCUAG
Molecule: ribosomal RNA, 192 nt
Filed under: Triticum aestivum (bread wheat)
Lineage: Eukaryota; Viridiplantae; Streptophyta; Magnoliopsida; Poales; Poaceae
Description: partial small subunit ribosomal RNA
Source: RNAcentral